This 643-nucleotide long non-coding RNA is filed under the name Homo sapiens (human). Its description in RNAcentral is "BMPR1B divergent transcript (BMPR1B-DT)". The record is from RNAcentral. Lineage: Eukaryota; Metazoa; Chordata; Mammalia; Primates; Hominidae.
AGAGCUGGAAAGGGCUCGCAGAGAUGAUAUAAUGUCGUGGAUUUCAACUUUUCGGGGCCAUAGACACUUUUCAGAAAUUGAUAAAACGUUGACACACCUUGUAAAAAAUGAACACAUUAAAAUUAAGCCUGCAGUUUGAGGUAAUGGAGAAGCACUGGAGAUUUGUAAGCCACGGAGUCAAAUGGUGGACUGGGAUUUUCAGGAGAUCAUUUAGAGAGCAAGAUCUUACCAAAUCCUUUAGUCAUGGUCUAUUUCGUUGCACUCAUAUGGUUGUUACUGCGAAGGUGAAGAACUAAUGACUGCAGCAGGAAAAAGAAUUGGAUGUGUCAUGAAUUAUGGCCCUGCUUAUACUUCUACUUCAACCGUAAUCAUUUGUUUAAACAAAAAGUUCUGCAUUUGAAUUGUCACAAUUGUGUGUGUGUUAUAAACAUCUCAUAUUUCAUCCAGGCUCAGCCAACACUUGCCUUUAUUAAUGCUCAUAAUCAAGAAAUAAAAUCUCAUACUAACCAAAAAUUAUCCUUCAUAAGAGAAUAUAAACAGAAGUCUGGUUCAUAAACUUACUAAUUAACACCUCUAUUCUCAUGUAUCAACUAACAUUUUUGUUUCGUCUUAAAAUAAAUAAAACUUUAUGACAUGCUAAUAA